This 73-nucleotide transfer RNA is filed under the name Paramuricea clavata. It matches the Rfam family "tRNA". From Rfam's summary of the family: Transfer RNA (tRNA) molecules are approximately 80 nucleotides in length. Their secondary structure includes four short double-helical elements and three loops (D, anti-codon, and T loops). Lineage: Eukaryota; Metazoa; Cnidaria; Anthozoa; Malacalcyonacea; Plexauridae. The record is from Rfam by way of RNAcentral.
GACUCUGUAGCUCAGUUGGUUAGAGCGCUGCACCGGAAUCGCAGGGCCGCAGGUUCAAUUCCUGCCAAGGACC